CGUCUGCCAAUGAUACAGUAUAUGGCAAUAACCAGCAGCACCAAGUUGUUACGGGGCACUUGAAUUGCUGUCAUGAUUUAAAAUUUCAACCCCAAUCAUGUCCAAAUCAAAAUCACAAUCAUGAUUGCGACCAUAUUAACUCUGCUUUGUAUUUGGAAAGGUCGUCGCAACUUGCAAGCAUAACUAUCAUCACAUUGUAAACACAACAACAGUUUAAAAGGAUUUGGAUUCACUGUAGCUCAUGCUCCUAAUUACAAGCAUUCUUAUCACAAGAUCAGUUUUUAGGCAUUCGUUCAUCUCAUGCUUGCUUUGAUGUUCGUUUUUGUCUGCUUUGAUUGCGUUUUUUAAAUUAAUGAUAUUAGGGUUUUGUGUUAAAGACUUAAAAAUUUCAUUUUUUAUGUUUAGUUACUAAAAAUGAUGAACAUUAGAGUAAGUAUGAACGAAAUUAGUGGGAGUCAAAUGAAGAAGACUUACAAUGACACUCAAUGUGAAAGGUGUUGAUUGAUUGGUCAUAACUCAAGAGGAUGUAUGAAGCAAGGUGUUGAUAUGAGACCAAAAAAUUGGAUUGAUACUGAGCCAAUGAAAAAAAUAUUGGAGGUGUUGCAUAAAAUGCUCGAAAUGUAUCACGAAAUGCAGAAAAUCUUGUGGUUGAAAAUGCUGGAGAUGUUGCAGAAAAUGCUGAAAAUGUUAAUCCUAUAAAUCUUGUUGCUGAAAAUGAUGGACAAGUUGCACAAAAUGCUGAAAAAUGUUGUUGCUAGAAAUUUUACAAUUCAGGGACAAAAUGUUGUCAAUGUUGUUGCAAAUGAAGUAUUGCUUGGACAUGUAUGACUGUUAAAUUUUAAGGAUCGAUUUGCUAGUAAGUGUAAUAAUUUAGGGACUGAUUUGAUUAAAUGUAUUAUUAUUUAGGGACAAAUAUGAUUGAAAAUGUUGUAGUAGGGUGUUCCUGCAAGGAGGUAUGACAUUAGAGGGUCAAUUAUUUCAAAUGAGAGGCCUACGCAAAAACCAGUGAGGGGUCCUGCACCAACACAUCCAACUGCUCCAGGCGUUAUUAGAGUACCAUAUCCAAAUUAUGAUCCAUCCGGUCCGACUCAACCUAAGUUCGUGGAGUUUAUCCCAACCCCCGAAUUUUCAAAGAAGUGAUACUUGAUGCAUGUUUAAAUUAUGAUUUUGGAAAUGUAAUAUUUCGACUUGUUUAAAUUAUGCCCCCUAGUUGGGUUUCUUUUUGGUUAUGUAAUAUUUAAGAACAUUCUUCUAUGACUUAUAUAACUUGUUAAUGACCCAUAAUUGGGUUGCUUUUGCAAUUGUAAUAUUUCAAACUUAAGGUGCAGAUAUUAAUGCACUAGUAUAGGGAGGUAUAACCCGAUGCAUAUUUGAUACAUGAAACUCCAGAGGCUUGCCUUGUUCUCAAGUGGAGGUUUCCAAGUUGAUGACCAUUUAGGGCCUGUUUGUUUCCAUGGAAUGAGCCACGACGUAAAGCAUAAAUAGGGAAAGUUUCUAAAUAUGUGUACCUUCCAUCGUUUGGUUUCUCUGACAGACAGGAAGGAAAGAUUGUUUAAGGCAUGUCCCAUGUAGAAAAGCUUGGAAUGAAGUUGUGAUCCAUUAAAAUGACAAAAGUGCCCUUGUAAAACUUCAUGUGCCCACUUACUUUUCCGCCAAAUAACAUUUCUCACACAAUACACUUUUGCAAUUUUUAACGUUUUGUCUUUAUGCUAGAUACUUAUUGUAUUAAUAUAAUUAAUAAUCACUAUAUUUACAUGUAUAAUACAUUUAAAAUAUCAAAAUCCAUUUAUAUAUAUAAAUAAUGGAAUAGGAUCAAAUGACAUCAUGGUGUCAAAAUUAGUUUGACACUAAAUCUUAUCCAUUCAUUUCAUUUAAUCCAAAGGCUUAAAACUAUCACCAAAUUAAUUAACAUACAUCAAAUACUCCCUAUCACCUAAUUAAGAAACAUAUCUAUCAUUAUUAAUUCAUAAUCAAACAAUACCUUCUUGUUUUUGGUAGAUUCAAACCCUUUUUAUUUUCCCCUAAUUUUUUUCUUUUGGCCAUAAACACAAACUCUAACUUUAUAAUUUUUAUAAAAUCAUGAUAAAUCUUAAUUCAGUUAAACAUGAGACACAACGAGUCCUCUAAAAAAAAUUAGACCUAUUAGUGACAAAAUAAUCUAAUUAGCAUGAACAAUUCAAAAAUCAUUUGUCGAGCUUGUUGGUUUUUUUUAAUACAAUUUAAUUAAUUAUUAAAAAAAUAUGAGUAUAUGAGAUAAAGAUAAAGAAAUAUCAUUGAUGGUGAUGAUGACUCAAACAACCAUAGGUAUAUGAGUUCAACCAUUCAUUUUAUAAAAAAAGUUUAGAAAAGAAGUUUGAGUAUGAUUAUAGAAAUCUGGGAAAAUUUAUAAAUUUGGGGAAAUAAAAAAGAGAAACAAAUAAAUUUGGGGAAAUAAAAAUGGAAUGUUUGAUUAUAAAUUAACGAUGAUAGAUAUUUUUCUUAAUUAGGUGAUAGAGAGUAUUUGGUGUAUAUUAAUUAAUUUGGUGAUAGUUUUAAGCCUUUGGAUUAAAUAAAAUGAGGGAUGAGAUUUGGUGUCAAACUAAUUUUGACACCAUGGUGUCAUUUGAUCCUAACCCAUAAAUAAUAUAUAACAUUUUAAUAUAGGGGUAUUAAUGAAAUUUUCUAAAUAUACACCUUUCUUUCUUUUCACUUUUACUCAUUCCAAACAACUAAAAAAUUAUCUCACUUUCCAUCAACUUUCUACUCACUUUCAUACAAUCUUUCCUUCUAUUUUCUUUCCUUAUACUUUCUUUUGUCAAUCAAACAUAGCCUUAGUGGCAUCUCUUAUGUUUUACUGAAGUCAUGAUUCCAAAGACACAACUGCUGUCUUAAUAUACAUAAAUUAUUAAAUAUCCAAUCCAAAGGUGUAAGUUGGCAUAGAGCGGUUAUGGUGCAUAAGAAAAUUCUUAUGCACCGUGCAUAAAUCCCAACAUAAUUGCUUCCUACACCCCCAAAGGAAACCAAACAAAAUAAAACAAAACGAACCAAACGCGGAAACAAACUGAAUCAUCACCAUCGUUCAUCAUCAUCACCACUGGAAUCUUCAAUCUCAUCAUCAACACCGCCGUUCAUCAUCAUCACCGUACCGGAAUGCCAAAACCAUUUUGUUGUGGAAAUGGUUUCUGUGAGUUGUACUCCAAACCCAUUUUGCUGUGGAAAUGGUUUCCAGAAUCUUCAAUCUCAUCAUCAACACUGUCGUUCAUCAUCAUCACCGUAUCGGAAUGCCAAAACCAUUUUGUUGUGGAAAUGGUUUCUGUGAGUUGUACUCCAAACCCAUUUUGUUGUGGAAAUGGUUUCCAGAAUCUUCAAUCUCAUCAUCAACAUCGUCGUUCAUCAUCAUCACCAUCAUCAUCACCGUACCGAAAUGCCAAAACCAUUUUGCUGUGGAAAACCAUUAGAUGUACUUAAUGGUUUCCAGCAGUUGUACUCCAAAACCAUUAGAUAUACUUAAUGGUUUCCAGCAAUUUCGCAGCCAUAAAUUCCAGCCCACGGGUGCGGAAAUUCGUGCAAUUAUGGUGAAAAUCACGAACCCGAAUCCACAGUUCCACCUCCAAACCCAGAACCAUCACAACCCACUUCAGAACUCCCCAGGAACACGAAGAAGAAGCUAGCGAGACAACAGAGAAGGGAAGCAAAGAAAGCAGAGAAGAAAGCGGCGGCGAAGAAGCAGAAGAAGAAGAAGGAAACCGAACGGAAACGAAAGGAAUGAGAACAAAGUUAAAACCUAGAUCUACACUGUUUGGUUGUUUAUCUUUGAAAACCGAGUCCGGAUUUGGAUUAUAGAAGGAAAAGGAAUUUUAAAAGUGAAUUUUUUUUUUUUGAAAUCGGAGCCAUUUCCUACUACUCUGGCGGCCGCGCCGAUGCCCUAGGGCGGCCGGCCACCGCGCCGAAGGUGUGUAAAAGAUGAAGCUUCAUCCCAGAUUGGUUUCUUAGAGAGAGAGUGAGAGAAAAUCUGUUUUUCAAAAGAGUAGAGAGAGAAAUGACAAACACAAAAUGAAAGAAAUUUGAUGGUUGUGAAGUGUUUAUGCACGGCGCAUAAGGAAAUGGCUUAUGCACCAUAACUUUUUCCAAGUUGGCAUAGAUAUACAUAAAUUAUUAAAUAAGUUGUUGGUCAAUAAAAAUAUAAUUAAUUUUGUUUUUAGUCCCCACAAAAAAAGGUUAAUUAAGUAAAUGAUUUUUAUAAAUAUUUAGAAUUUUGUUUUUAGUCCGUACAAAAUAAAAUCACACUAUUUAGUCUGUGACAUUUUCCUUUAGCAUUUUAGAGAAAAAAAAGUGUUGAUGGAAAUUUUUUAUAGAGACUCAAAAUAUUGAUGCAAAAUUUUACAGGGACUAAAAAGUACGAUUUUAUUUUAUAGGGACUAAAAAUAAAAUUCUAAAUAUUAAUAGGAACCAUUUAUUUAAUUAACCCUAAAAAAUGUGACAUAUUUUGGUUAGUAUAAAAAUUUUCAUCACGUAAUCUUAGUCCCUGUUAAAUUAAAAAUUGUUUAAUUAUGUUUAAAAUUUAAAAUUUUUGAAUGAUAUUUUACAAAAUUGUUUAAAAUAUUAUUAAAAGUUCAUCCGCAAAAAAUUAGCUCAAAAUUUGAUUUUUAAGUCCAAAUUUUUGUUAGUUUUAUCUUGAAAUUUUGCUGUUUAAAUAAAGUCAUGUUUGAUUCAUUAGAUGUUAAAAAAAUUUAAUUUUAUAAAAGAGUUUUUUAUAAUGUUCUUAACAUGUCUAUAAAAAAUCAUUUAAAAAUUUAAAAUUUUAAUCAUAAUUAAAUAAAUUUUAGGUUAACAGGAACUAAAACUAUGUGUUAAAAAUUUUUAUAGGGAUUAAAACGUGUUACUUUUUUCUUUAUGAGGACUAAAAAUUAAAUUCUCUAUAUUUAUAAGGACUAAAAACUUAUUUAACUCAAUAACUAACACAUACCUUUUAUACCAAAAACUUCAAGAGGAGUUACAUGGCUUAUACUUUGUUGAACACUUCUUUCUAUAUGCACAACAAAGAUGUUUCUUUUAUCAAAAGACGUAGUUUGGCUUCAAAGUAUGUAAACAUCUGAGACAUGGCUUAUUUAACCCAACAUUUGUUAGCUUAUGAUGAUGAUUCUACCACUCAAAUUUCUCUAGUGUUUAUGAAUGUUAUGUUGUACCCUCAUUGGACAAUUAUUCCUAUGACUAAAACACUAUUAUUUCUUGUUUGGAAUCGUUUCCUUUCUUUAUAAUGAAAGGA
RNAcentral lists this long non-coding RNA (5245 nucleotides) under Medicago truncatula (barrel medic). Its description in RNAcentral is "long non-coding RNA (MTRU_LNC002754)". Lineage: Eukaryota; Viridiplantae; Streptophyta; Magnoliopsida; Fabales; Fabaceae. The record is from RNAcentral.